RNAcentral lists this ribosomal RNA (528 nucleotides) under Anastrepha superflua. RNAcentral's name for it is "partial small subunit ribosomal RNA". It matches the Rfam family "Bacterial large subunit ribosomal RNA", at positions 1823 to 2605 of the family's 2925-position model. Lineage: Eukaryota; Metazoa; Arthropoda; Insecta; Diptera; Tephritidae. The record is from RNAcentral.
AAACAUGUCUUUUUGAAUUGUAUUUAAAGUCUAACCUGCCCACUGAUAAAUUUUAAAUGGCCGCAGUAUUUUGACUGUGCAAAGGUAGCAUAAUCAUUAGUCUUUUAAUUGAAGGCUGGAAUGAACGGUUGGACGAAGUAUAAGCUGUUUCAUAUAAAUUUAUUAUAGAAAUUUAUAUUUUAGUUAAAAAGCUAAAAUUUUAUUAAAAGACGAGAAGACCCUAUAAAUCUUUAUAAUUACUGUUGUUUAAAUUUUUUAGAUUUGUUUUAUUUUUAUAAGAGUAAUUAUUUUGUUGGGGUGAUAUUAAAAUUUAAUUAACUUUUAAUUUACUGAGAAUCAUUAAUUUMUGAUUUGUUGAUCCAAUAGUAUUGAUUAUAAGAUUAAGUUACUUUAGGGAUAACAGCGUAAUUUUUUUUGAGAGUUCAUAUCGACAAAAAAGUUUGCGACCUCGAUGUUGGAUUAAGGAAUAAUUUUGGGUGUAGCAGUUCAAAUAUUAAGUCUGUUCGACUUUUAAAUCCUUACAUGAUC